Candoia aspera is the source of this 69-nucleotide small nucleolar RNA. The record is from RefSeq and is a predicted model, not a curated record. Lineage: Eukaryota; Metazoa; Chordata; Lepidosauria; Squamata; Candoiidae.
UGGGCGUGAUGAAACUCUGAGCCUGACCAAUGAUGGUGGAGGCCAAAGCUGAUUUAAUGAGUCUGAUCC